RNAcentral lists this ribosomal RNA (264 nucleotides) under uncultured archaeon. RNAcentral's name for it is "partial 16S ribosomal RNA". It matches the Rfam family "Archaeal small subunit ribosomal RNA", at positions 718 to 982 of the family's 1478-position model. The record is from RNAcentral.
AGUCACUGACAUUAGAUACCCCGGUAGUCCAGGGUGUAAACGCUGCAGACUUGGUGUUGGAAGCCCUUUGGGGGCAUUCAGUGCCGGAGAGAAGUUGUUAAGUCUGCUACUUGGGGAGUACGUCCGCAAGGAUGAAACUUAAAGGAAUUGGCGGGGGAGCACUGCAACGGGAGGAGCGUGCGGUUUAAUUGGAUUCAACACCGUAAACUCACCAGGGAAGACUGUUACAUGAAGGCCGAGAUGAAGACUCUGCUAGAUUUUCAG